RNAcentral lists this small nuclear RNA (107 nucleotides) under Dasypus novemcinctus (nine-banded armadillo). The record is from RNAcentral. Lineage: Eukaryota; Metazoa; Chordata; Mammalia; Cingulata; Dasypodidae.
AUGCUUACUUUGGCAGCACAUAUACUAAAAUUGGAAUGAUACAGAGAAGAUUAGCAUGAGUCCUGGGCAAGGAUGAUACGCAAAUUUGUGGAGCAUAACGUAUUUUU